Fundulus heteroclitus (mummichog) is the source of this 1209-nucleotide long non-coding RNA. RefSeq lists it as uncharacterized. Lineage: Eukaryota; Metazoa; Chordata; Actinopteri; Cyprinodontiformes; Fundulidae. The transcript has 4 exons. The record is from RefSeq and is a predicted model, not a curated record.
AGAAUUCUAAAAUAAAAGGAAGCAAUGUUUUAAUGUUGGUUUUUUCAUGGAGAACAACAGUAUUUGUGCUCAGUGAACAAAACUGUCUCUGGUGAAUUUGCCCCUGCUUGACAGGAAUGCAAACCUUGGUAUGUCACCAAUUAGAAAAGAACAAGAUCAUACCUGUUCAGUUCUUGCAAUAAAAAGAAGUGUGGAUGUUUUCCACUCUUCCAGUCAUGACAUGAUCUGUCUGCAGAGCUGCACCCAGGACUGCUGCUGCUUUCUCUUUGCUCCUCUUUCUCUUCUUCAGUCUCCUGGAGCAGCGAGGAUUGUUGGACUCACAGCAACAGAGCAGACGCGAGAAGAUGAUCUGCAGGAUCCUGCUGCUCAUCAUCCUCAACUCAUGUCUCUGUGCAGCAACAUUUGUAGUGAAUGUGACACAGUGCUCCUAUAAGGUAGAGGAGAACCACAACAUCACUCUGGAGUGGACCUUCACCACCAGACCUGAUCGACCCUGGAGGGAGUACCAAAUCUACUGCAGAAUUGUAAUUCCUAGGAAAAUAUUAAUCUGGUAUAAGCUCCUAGAUGGUGUUGAGGUGGAAGAGCCUCAUGAUGAAGAGUUUUCAGGACGAGUCCAGCUUGACAAAGACGUCCUCAGAGAAGGAGAAGUCAGACUCCAUGUGUCCAGACUGAGGACUGAAGACUCUGGAGAGUAUGUGUGUAAUGUGUCGGUUGAUGAUGGUUCUGGUUAUGUUACGGGUUAUGCACCCUGUCAAGUCAACGUCUCUGGAGCAAACUCAAUUACAAGCAGACCUGGAAACACGAUCAGAACCAUUGGAGGACUGCUGCUGUUUCUAUCUGUGAAGCUUUUUCUGCUUUAAUAUUUGCUUCAUGCAGAGUUUUCAUUGCAGUCGCUGAUUCCAGCAAAUCAUUGAAUGUUUUCCUGAACUCCUGAAGCUGACUUCAGCAGCAGCUUUUCCACUUUCUGAUGAGGAUCAUCAUCUGCUGUCAGAUGGUUGUUAGUCACACUGGUUUCAAUCUGCUGAUCAGUCAGUGUGCCCUUGAGCAAAGCUCUUAACCCCCAGUUGCUCACCGGUAGUUUAACAGGAAGUGUUUCUGUUCUGUCUUGUUAAGGUUCUGCAGUGUUCUUCUUAUUUCUGUGAAAAUAUAAAAACAUAUUUUUUCAAACCUUUUGCACAAACAAAUAAAAACUUAACAAUCACAUGAAAA